UAAAGAAGCAGAACACAAAGAAGAUCCUCUCAGAAGAAGAUACAGCUCAGCAUGUGCAUGAGAAGCAACAGCUAGUUUGUUUCAAAUUGGGAAGCCACUGGCGUAGGCCACUGUCAGUUUCAGGAUGAGAUGAACCUCUCGUCUACUUCGCUGUGUAUGGGAAUUCCUCUGAUGACUUUUGUGCAGGUGAAAAGCGCAAAAGAGCUGUCUCCCAGAGGCAAACAUGAGACCUGGGAGAUAUCUGUUGGACCCUGUUACUCUGGAGGAAGAAGAGGAGAUCUUCAAUCUUCACAGGCUGAGGUACAUCUCAUUUCCCCUCACCAGGGGAGUGCAAGAGGAAUUGGACUUGGGCUGAAUCCUAGGAGUUAGGAUGAAGAAGGCUAACACUGAGUAUUAGUUAUUUAGUACAGAGGCCAUUUAACAGAACACUGGACCCAAAUAAACGCCUGGUAUUUGCA
This is a long non-coding RNA of Caretta caretta (loggerhead turtle), 458 nucleotides long. RefSeq lists it as uncharacterized. The record is from RefSeq and is a predicted model, not a curated record. NCBI's taxonomy places the organism in Eukaryota, Metazoa, Chordata, Testudines, Cheloniidae.